AGAGUUUGAUCAUGGCUCAGAACUAACGCUGGCGGCGUGCCUAACACAUGCAAGUCGUACGAGAAAGUUGGCUUCGGCCGAUGAGUAAAGUGGCGCACGGGUGAGUAACGCGUGGAUAAUCUACCUUUUAGUUUGGAAUAACGUACCGAAAGGUGCGCUAAUACCGGAUAAUACUGAGUGACUACUGUUGCUUAGUCAAAGAAGGCUUCUGUUUACAUGCUUUUGCUGAAAGAUGAGUCCGCGUACCAUUAGCUAGUUGGUAGGGUAAUGGCCUACCAAGGCUACGAUGGUUAGCUGGUCUGAGAGGAUGAUCAGCCACACUGGAACUGAGACACGGUCCAGACUCCUACGGGAGGCAGCAGUGAGGAAUAUUGCGCAAUGGGGGCAACCCUGACGCAGCAACGCCGCGUGAGUGAGGAAGGUUUUCGGACCGUAAAGCUCUGUCGAGCGGGAAGAAAUGCAUGGUGGCUAAUAUCCAUCAUGCUUGACGGUACCGCUAAAGGAAGCACCGGCUAACUCCGUGCCAGCAGCCGCGGUAAUACGGGGGGUGCAAGCGUUGUUCGGAAUUAUUGGGCGUAAAGAGCGUGUAGGCGGCUGAAUAAGUCAGAUGUGAAAUCCCUGGGCUUAACCCAGGACGUGCAUUUGAAACUAUUCAGCUUGAGUAGGGGAGAGGAAAGUGGAAUUCCUGGUGUAGAGGUGAAAUUCGUAGAUAUCAUGAGAACACCGGUGGCGAAAGCGACUUUCUGGGCCCUAUACUGACGCUGAGACGCGAGAGCGUGGGUAGCAAACAGAUUAGAUACCCUGGUAGUCCACGCUGUA
This 819-nucleotide ribosomal RNA is filed under the name uncultured bacterium. RNAcentral describes it as "bacterial SSU rRNA". It matches the Rfam family "Bacterial small subunit ribosomal RNA", at positions 8 to 804 of the family's 1533-position model. The record is from RNAcentral.